RNAcentral lists this unclassified non-coding RNA (303 nucleotides) under plant metagenome. Its description in RNAcentral is "partial contains 5.8S ribosomal RNA, internal transcribed spacer 2, and large subunit ribosomal RNA". The stretch from base 1 to 105 matches the Rfam family "5.8S ribosomal RNA", at positions 50 to 154 of the family's 154-position model. The record is from RNAcentral.
GAAAUGCGAUAAGUAGUGUGAAUUGCAGAAUUCAGUGAAUCAUCGAAUCUUUGAACGCACAUUGCGCCCUUUGGUAUUCCUUAGGGCAUGCCUGUUCGAGCGUCAUUUAAACCUUCAAGCCCUGCUUGGUGUUGGGUGCCUGUCCCGCCCCCGCGCGUGGACUCACCUCAAAUCCAUUGGCGGCCCCCGCAUGGCCACGAGCGCAGCAGAAACGCAAACUCGUGUGCCGGACCGGUCGGCUCCCAGAAGCUACACUCACCAUUUUGACCUCGGAUCAGGUAGGGAUACCCGCUGAACUUAAGC